Molecule: transfer RNA, 71 nt
Filed under: Toxocara canis (dog roundworm)
Lineage: Eukaryota; Metazoa; Nematoda; Chromadorea; Rhabditida; Toxocaridae
Rfam family: tRNA
About the family: Transfer RNA (tRNA) molecules are approximately 80 nucleotides in length. Their secondary structure includes four short double-helical elements and three loops (D, anti-codon, and T loops).
Source: Rfam by way of RNAcentral
GCGGCAGCGGCUGAGUGGUAGAGCACCCGCUUCGCACGCGGGAGACCUGGGUUCGAUUCCCUGCUGCUUCC